AAGUCGUAACAAGGUCUCCGUAGGUGAACCCUGCAGGGAGGAAUCAUUAACGGAAGGUGACCCCGGUCUAACCACCGGGAUGUUCAUAACCCUUUGUUGUCCGACUCUGCUGCCUCCGGGCGACCCUGCCUUCGGGCGGGGCUCCGGUGGACACUUCAAACUCUUGCGUAACUUUGCAGUCUGAGUAAACUUAAUUAAUAAAUUAAAA
This 208-nucleotide unclassified non-coding RNA is filed under the name plant metagenome. Its description in RNAcentral is "partial contains small subunit ribosomal RNA and internal transcribed spacer 1". The record is from RNAcentral.